AAAAAAAAAACCAGGUAGUUGGAACAUCAAAAGAUUACUGUUAAUUAAAGAAACUAGACAUCUUAAGUUAAUAAAUGUAGCACUUUUCUAUAUAUGGUGAGAUGCAAGAAUCUGGUCUCCUGGAAAUCAGUCCCUUGAUGUUCACUUUAAUUAUCUAGGGCCAGUAUCCUGUUUUCUCCAUCCUGAAUCCCCUCAGGGUGCGGCUUUGGGUGUGGCUUCAGUGGCUGAUGGCUUGAUGGCUAUAACAUCCUGUGUUACUGAUAAGGCUGGCUACCUUCUUUCUCCACAUAAAUGACUUGAAUAUGGAUAGUAAAUCUGUGGAUUUGCAAAACGUAAUUCUUGGAGCAUUUUUAUAAGGACAAAGUUAAGGCAAUUUCAGAAUCACUAGCGGCUAAAAUUGCUAUUUACACUUUUCCACUGGUAGGUAGUCAUCUGCUGUUGCUGUCUUCAGUAAUCUGCUGUUGCUGUAUUCCCAAGGGAUAACAAAAACCAUUGAAUUCAAGAAAGAAAUGUAAAAUCUAGCACAAUGCAGCUUCCACAAAACCAAACACACAAACACACACCCAACUCUCGCAGAUAUGAAGUAGUAAUCUAAAAUAGAAUCCUGGAACUAAUUGCAAAACAAGAGCAAAUGUACUCCUAUUGGAUCAUUUUAUUCUUUUAUUAAUGUUUGAUACAUAUAUGUAUUUAUUAUUAAAAUUCAAAGUUGCUAUAUGGGCCGCGCGCGAAGACAUGGGGGAGAAGCUGGAGCUGAGGCUGGAGUCGCUCUUGGGGACCGAGCCCGCCGUCUGCCCGUGGCCGCUGCCGGUCUACGUGGAAAGACUAUCUCCCAGUUGAACAGCGGAUGCCUGGGACUCAUUUCAUUGCUUUCAAAGUUCCUUUAAAAAAGAGUUUUGAAAAGAAUCUUGCUCCAGAAGAACGUUUCUCCCCCUUGGAUCUCUUAACAAAAUCCAAGGACAGAAUGAAGAACUUGGGCUGAUUAUUGACUUAACAAAUACUCGCCGCUAUUACAAGCCAGAGGACUUACCAGAAACUAUUCCUUAUUUAAAAAGUUGUACAAUUGGGCAUCAGGGGUCAGAUGACGACGCUAGUUUUAAAUUCCAGUGUGCUGUUAAUGGGUUUCUGAAAGAACAUAAAGAUAACGGUGAGUUGCUUUUGUUUUUGUUUUUGUUUUUCCUUUACCUGAACUUUGGUAUGCAUUUUGAGUGGGCUUGGGGGUUUUUAACAUUUUUAAUAGUUCUGACAUUAGUGUCAAGUUGUGUUUGGUAACAUUAAGGUGGAAAUGUCAGAUGGUGCUAAUAGAGUACGGUGUUUUUCCUGUUUAUGGUCACAAACAAUUUAGUUUAGUUUGGAAA
This is a long non-coding RNA of Orcinus orca (killer whale), 1355 nucleotides long. RefSeq lists it as uncharacterized. The record is from RefSeq and is a predicted model, not a curated record. Lineage: Eukaryota; Metazoa; Chordata; Mammalia; Artiodactyla; Delphinidae. The transcript is spliced from 4 exons.